GUGAACGCUGGCGGUAGGCCUAACACAUGCCAGUCGAACGGCAGCACCGUAAGAGCUUGCUCUUACGGGUGGCGAGUGGCGGACGGGUGAGGAAUACAUCGGAAUCUACUUUUUCGUGGGGGAUAACGUAGGGAAACUUACGCUAAUACCGCAUACGACCUACGGGUGAAAGCAGGGGAUCUUCGGACCUUGCGCGAUUGAAUGAGCCGAUGUCGGAUUAGCUAGUUGGCGGGGUAAAGGCCCACCAAGGCGACGAUCCGUAGCUGGUCUGAGAGGAUGAUCAGCCACACUGGAACUGAGACACGGUCCAGACUCCUACGGGAGGCAGCAGUGGGGAAUAUUGGACAAUGGGCGCAAGCCUGAUCCAGACAUACCGCGUGGGUGAAGAAGGCCUUCGGGUUGUAAAGCCCUUUUGUUGGGAAAGAAAAGCAGCAGGUUAAUACCCCGCUGUUCUGACGGUACCCAAAGAAUAAGCACCGGCUAACUUCGUG
RNAcentral lists this ribosomal RNA (491 nucleotides) under uncultured bacterium. RNAcentral describes it as "partial 16S ribosomal RNA". It matches the Rfam family "Bacterial small subunit ribosomal RNA", at positions 29 to 507 of the family's 1533-position model. The record is from RNAcentral.